CAAAGGCUUGGUCCUAACUUUACUAACAGCUUUAGCCAGACUUACACAUGCAAGUAUCCGCACCCCAGUGAGAAUGCCCUAACAGUCUUCUAAUAGGAGGCAAGGAGCUGGUAUCAGGCACACCAUCAAUUAGCCCACGACAUCUUGCUCAGCCACACCCCCAAGGGUAAUCAGCAGUGAUAGACAUUAAGCCAUAAGUGAAAACUUGACUUAGUUAAGGCUAACAGGGUUGGUAGAACUCGUGCCAGCCACCGCGGUUAGACGAGUAACCCAAGUUGUUAAACCACGGCGUAAAGAGUGGUUAAGAGAUAUUUUAUACUAAAGCCGAAUACUUACAGAGCUGUUAUACGUUCCCGAAAGUAAGAAGCCCAAUCACGAAAGUGGCUUUAUAUCUUCUGAACCCACGUAAGCUAGGGCACAAACUGGGAUUAGGUACCCCAUUAUGCUUAGCUGUUAACAUUGACAGUUUAUCACACCCACUGUCCGCCUGGGAACUACGAGCAAUAGCUUAAAACCCAAAGGACUUGGCGGUGCUUUAGAUCCACCUAGAGGAGCCUGUCCUAGAACCGAUAAUCCCCGUUAAACCUCACCCUUUCUUGUUUUUCCCGCCUAUAUACCACCGUCGCAAGCUCACCCUAUGAAGGCCCGUUUAGUGAGCCCAACUGGUACUACCCGCCACGUCAGGUCGAGGUGUAGCGCAUGAAAGGGGAAGAGAUGGGCUACAUUCUCUGGUACAGAGAACUACGGAAGACUAUAUUGAAACAUAUACCUGAAGGAGGAUUUAGCAGUAAGCAGAAAAUAGAGUGUUCUGCUGAAGCUGGCCCUAAAGCGCGUACACACCGCCCGUCACUCUCUCCGAGCUAAACAACUCAACUAAUUAAAAACUUAUAACUGCAAAGGGGAGGCAAGUCGUAACAUGGUAAGUGUACCGGAAGGUGUACUUGGAACAAC
This 951-nucleotide non-coding RNA is filed under the name Hoplolatilus cuniculus (dusky tilefish). RNAcentral describes it as "12S ribosomal RNA". It matches the Rfam family "Bacterial small subunit ribosomal RNA". Lineage: Eukaryota; Metazoa; Chordata; Actinopteri; Malacanthidae. The record is from RNAcentral.